UUUGGUCAAACCUCUCUCCCUCCACUACUUCGUGACACAUCGUAGCUAGAUUGGUACGGCACGAGAAGCCCCGUCGGAGUAACUCCACCAUCAUCAUCGCCACGCCGUCGUGCUAUCGGAGAAUUCACCUACCUCUUCGUCUCUCUUGUUGGAUCAAGAAGACGGAGAUCGUCAUCGAGCUGUACGUGUGCUGAACGCGGAGGUGCCGUCUGUUCGGUGCUAGAUCGGGACGGAUCGUGGGACGGCGGCGAUUUGGAGCGCGAAGACAUUCCACUACAUCAACUGCGUUUCUUAACGCUUCCCGCUUAGCGAUCUACAAGGGUAUGUAGAUCCAAUCUUUCUCUCGUAGAUGUUCAUCACCAUGAUAGGUCUUCAUGUGUGUAGGAAUUUUUUUUGUUUUCCAUGCAACGUUCCCCAACAUAGACUUGAGGUGUUUUGUAGGUGGUGGUUCGUGUUGCAACUACAAAAAAUUGAUCACCGUAGCAAGAUCUUCCUCUUUUUUUUUUCUUUUUGUCUUUUAGCUGUGUGCAUCGGUAAUGUCUUUACAGAGGCUAAGUGUAAUUGGUAUCUCCGUGAUAUUAAUAUAUUCUCCUUGUCGUAAAUCCUGCGAACCUCCGACGGUGAUUGUUGAUGUUUUUGCCUUUUGCCAUGAUUGUUCUUUUUUUGUGGGGGUUCUUUGUGCAAAGUGCUGUAUCAGUUGUUCUUUGGAAUCCUAGC
RNAcentral lists this long non-coding RNA (717 nucleotides) under Hordeum vulgare. RNAcentral describes it as "long non-coding RNA (HVUL_LNC001815)". Lineage: Eukaryota; Viridiplantae; Streptophyta; Magnoliopsida; Poales; Poaceae. The record is from RNAcentral.